CGUAACAAGGUUUCCGUAGGUGAACCUGCGGAAGGAUCAUUACAUUCAGUAGCUUGCUACUGUUAGGGAGGCCGGUUAGUCUGUAUAGUAUCACUACUGAUGAGCAGCACGGCCUUCUGUCUGUACCCUUGUCUUUUGCGCACUCAUGUUUCCUCGGCUGGGUUUACGCCCGCCGGCUGGACAACUCUAUAACCUUUUUAAUUUUCAAUCAGCGUCUGAAAAACUUAAUAAUUACAACUUUCAACAACGGAUCUCUUGGUUCUGGCAUCGAUGAAGAACGCAGCGAAAUGCGAUAAGUAGUGUGAAUUGCAGAAUUCAGUGAAUCAUCGAAUCUUUGAACGCACAUUGCGCCCCUUGGUAUUCCAUGGGGCAUGCCUGUUCGAGCGUCAUUUGUACCCUCAAGCUCUGCUUGGUGUUGGGUGUUUGUCCACUCCCUGGUGUUUGGACUCGCCUUAAAGCAAUUGGCAGCCAGUGUUUUGGUAUUGAAGCGCAGCACAAUUUGCGACUCUAGCCUAGAAUACUUGCGUCCAGUAAGCCUUUUUCCACUUUUGACCUCGGAUCAGGUAGGGAUACCCGCUGAACUUAAGCAUAUCAAUAAGCGGAGGAAAAGAAACCAACAGGGAUUGCCCUAGUAACGGCG
RNAcentral lists this unclassified non-coding RNA (640 nucleotides) under Neosetophoma sp. 1 NV-2015. Its description in RNAcentral is "sequence contains ITS1, 5.8S rRNA gene and ITS2". The stretch from base 236 to 389 matches the Rfam family "5.8S ribosomal RNA". The record is from RNAcentral. Lineage: Eukaryota; Fungi; Ascomycota; Dothideomycetes; Pleosporales; Phaeosphaeriaceae.